GACGAACCGUCCAAACGUUAUUCGGAAUUACUGGGCGUAAAGGGCGCGUAGGCGGCCUCUGCAAGUCGACUGUGAAAUCUCCGGGCUUAACCCGGAAAGGUCAGCCGAUACUGCAGGGCUAGAGUGCAGAAGGGGCAACUGGAAUUCUCGGUGUAGCGGUGAAAUGCGUAGAUAUCGAGAGGAACACCUGCGGCGAAGGCGGGUUGCUGGGCUGACACUGACGCUGAGGCGCGAAAGCUAGGGGAGCGAACGGG
RNAcentral lists this ribosomal RNA (254 nucleotides) under uncultured bacterium. RNAcentral's name for it is "partial 16S ribosomal RNA". It matches the Rfam family "Bacterial small subunit ribosomal RNA", at positions 524 to 776 of the family's 1533-position model. The record is from RNAcentral.